ACGGGUACCCGCCUUGAGAGGGCGACCGGCCAACACUGGGACUGAGACACGGCCCCAGAUUCCUGCGGGAAGCAGCAGUGGGGAAUAUUGCGCAAUGGGCGAAAGCCUGACGCAGCGACGCCGCGUGGGGGAGACGGCCUUCGGGUUGUAAACUCUUUUACCACCAACGCAGGCUUCCAGUUCUCUGGAGGUUGACGGUAGGUGGGGAAUAAGGACCGGCUAACUACGUGCCAGCAGCCGCGGUAAUACGUAGGGUCCGAGCGUUGUCCGGAAUUAUUGGGCGUAAAGAGCUCGUAGGCGGCGUGUCGCGUCUGCUGUGAAAGACCGGGGCUUAACUCCGGUUCUGCAGUGGAUACGGGCAUGCUAGAGGUAGGUAGGGGAGACUGGAAUUCCUGGUGUAGCGGUGAAAUGCGCAGAUAUCAGGAGGAACACCGGUGGCGAAGGCGGGUCUCUGGGCCUUACCUGACGCUGAGGAGCGAAAGCAUGGGGAGCGAACAGGAUUAGAUACCCUGGUAGUCCAUGCCGUAAACGUUGGGCGCUAGGUGUGGGGACUUUCCACGGUUUCCGCGCCGUAGCUAACGCAUUAAGCGCCCCGCCUGGGGAGUACGGCCGCAAGGCUAAAACUCAAAGGAAUUGACGGGGGCCCGCACAAGCGGCGGAGCAUGUUGCUUAAUUCGACGCAACGCGAAGAACCUUACCAAGGUUUGACAUCACCCGUGGACUCGCAGAGAUGUGAGGUCAUUUAGUUGGCGGGUGACAGGUGGUGCAUGGCUGUCGUCAGCUCGUGUCGUGAGAUGUUGGGUUAAGUCCCGCAACGAGCGCAACCCUUGUUCCAUGUUGCCAGCACGUAAUGGUGGGGACUCAUGGGAGACUGCCGGGGUCAACUCGGAGGAAGGUGGGGAUGACGUCAAGUCAUCAUGCCCCUUAUGUCUUGGGCUGCAAACAUGCUACAAUGGCCGGUACAAUGGGCGUGCGAUACCGUAAGGUGGAGCGAAUCCCUAAAAGCCGGUCUCAGUUCGGAUUGGGGUCUGCAACUCGACCCCAUGAAGGUGGAGUCGCUAGUAAUCGCGGAUCAGCAACGCCGCGGUGAAUACGUUCCCGGGCCUUGUACACACCGCCCGUCACGUCAUGAAAGUCGGCAACACCCGAAACUUGCGGUGAGACCCUCCUGGCACAGUGAGAUCCGUCGGCGCUCGCCCCGCUAAC
RNAcentral lists this ribosomal RNA (1206 nucleotides) under Nocardiopsis sp. AUNIA-6. RNAcentral's name for it is "bacterial SSU rRNA". It matches the Rfam family "Bacterial small subunit ribosomal RNA", at positions 279 to 1461 of the family's 1533-position model. The record is from RNAcentral. Lineage: Bacteria; Bacillati; Actinomycetota; Actinomycetes; Streptosporangiales; Nocardiopsidaceae.